UGUCACAAAAUGCCAAAUGGAUUCUUA
RNAcentral lists this non-coding RNA (27 nucleotides) under Mus musculus (house mouse). Lineage: Eukaryota; Metazoa; Chordata; Mammalia; Rodentia; Muridae. The record is from RNAcentral.